This 50-nucleotide transfer RNA is filed under the name Festuca psammophila. The stretch from base 10 to 50 matches the Rfam family "tRNA", at positions 1 to 40 of the family's 71-position model. From Rfam's summary of the family: Transfer RNA (tRNA) molecules are approximately 80 nucleotides in length. Their secondary structure includes four short double-helical elements and three loops (D, anti-codon, and T loops). Lineage: Eukaryota; Viridiplantae; Streptophyta; Magnoliopsida; Poales; Poaceae. The record is from RNAcentral.
CAAGAAAAGGUCAGGAUAGCUCAGUUGGUAGAGCAGAGGACUGAAAAUCC